AGCGAACGCUGGCGGCAGGCUUAACACAUGCAAGUCGAGCGAGCCCUUCGGGGUCAGCGGCAGACGGGUGAGUAACACGUGGGAACGUACCCUUUGGUUCGGAAUAACGCUGGGAAACUAGCGCUAAUACCGGAUACGCCCUUUUGGGGAAAGGCUUGCUGCCGAAGGAUCGGCCCGCGUCUGAUUAGCUAGUUGGUGGGGUAAUGGCCUACCAAGGCGACGAUCAGUAGCUGGUCUGAGAGGAUGAUCAGCCACACUGGGACUGAGACACGGCCCAGACUCCUACGGGAGGCAGCAGUGGGGAAUAUUGGACAAUGGGCGCAAGCCUGAUCCAGCCAUGCCGCGUGAGUGAUGAAGGCCUUAGGGUUGUAAAGCUCUUUUGUCCGGGACGAUAAUGACGGUACCGGAAGAAUAAGCCCCGGCUAACUUCGUG
This 433-nucleotide ribosomal RNA is filed under the name uncultured bacterium. RNAcentral's name for it is "partial 16S ribosomal RNA". It matches the Rfam family "Bacterial small subunit ribosomal RNA", at positions 29 to 507 of the family's 1533-position model. The record is from RNAcentral.